CUGGCGGCGUGCCUAAUACAUAGCAAGUCGAACGGUCUUUCUAUGGAAGCUUGCUUCCACUGAGAAGAUAGUGGCGAACGGGGUGAGUAACACGUGGGUAACCUGCCCAUAAGAGGGGGGAUAACAUCCGGAAACGGGUGCUAAUACCGCAUAGUUUUCUUGAUCGCAUGAUUGAGAAAGGAAAGACGGCCUUUGUGCUGUCGCUUAUGGAUGGACCCGCGGCGUAUUAGUUAGUUGGUGAGGUAAUGGCUCACCAAGACGAUGAUACGUAGCCGACCUGAGAGGGUGAUCGGCCACAUUGGGACUGAGACACGGCCCAAACUCCUACGGGAGGCAGCAGUAGGGAAUCUUCCGCAAUGGACGAAAGUCUGACGGAGCAACGCCGCGUGAGUGAAAGAAGGUUUUUCGGAUCGUAAAACUCUGUUGUCAGAGAAGAACAAGUUGGAGAGUAACUGCUCCAGCCUUGACGGUAUCUGACCAGAAAGCCACGGCUAACUACGUGCCAGCCGCGGC
RNAcentral lists this ribosomal RNA (513 nucleotides) under uncultured bacterium. RNAcentral describes it as "bacterial SSU rRNA". It matches the Rfam family "Bacterial small subunit ribosomal RNA", at positions 36 to 518 of the family's 1533-position model. The record is from RNAcentral.